RNAcentral lists this ribosomal RNA (557 nucleotides) under uncultured bacterium. RNAcentral's name for it is "bacterial SSU rRNA". It matches the Rfam family "Bacterial small subunit ribosomal RNA", at positions 102 to 694 of the family's 1533-position model. The record is from RNAcentral.
ACGGGUGAGUAACACGUGGGAACGUACCUUUUGGUUCGGAACAACACAGGGAAACUUGUGCUAAUACCGGAUAAGCCCUUACGGGGAAAGAUUUAUCGCCGAAAGAUCGGCCCGCGUCUGAUUAGCUAGUUGGUAGGGUAACGGCCUACCAAGGCGACGAUCAGUAGCUGGUCUGAGAGGAUGAUCAGCCACAUUGGGACUGAGACACGGCCCAAACUCCUACGGGAGGCAGCAGUGGGGAAUAUUGGACAAUGGGGGCAACCCUGAUCCAGCCAUGCCGCGUGAGUGAUGAAGGCCCUAGGGUUGUAAAGCUCUUUUGUGCGGGAAGAUAAUGACGGUACCGCAAGAAUAAGCCCCGGCUAACUUCGUGCCAGCAGCCGCGGUAAUACGAAGGGGGCUAGCGUUGCUCGGAAUCACUGGGCGUAAAGGGUGCGUAGGCGGGUUUUUAAGUCAGAGGUGAAAUCCUGGAGCUCAACUCCAGAACUGCCUUUGAUACUGGGAAUCUUGAGUAUGGAAGAGGUGAGUGGAACUGCGAGUGUAGAGGUGAAAUUCGUGGA